RNAcentral lists this ribosomal RNA (448 nucleotides) under uncultured bacterium. Its description in RNAcentral is "bacterial SSU rRNA". It matches the Rfam family "Bacterial small subunit ribosomal RNA", at positions 329 to 797 of the family's 1533-position model. The record is from RNAcentral.
UGCCAGACUCCUACGGGAGGCAGCAGUGGGGGAUAUUGCACAAUGGGGGAAACCCUGAUGCAGCGACGCCGCGUGGAGGAAGAAGGUCUUCGGAUUGUAAACUCCUGUCCGAGGGGACGAUAAUGACGGUACCCUUGGAGGAAGCACCGGCUAACUACGUGCCAGCAGCCGCGGUAAAACGUAGGGGGCAAGCGUUAUCCGGAUUUACUGGGUGUAAAGGGAGCGUAGACGGCAGUGCAAGUCUGAAGUGAAAGCCCCGGGCUUAACCCGGGAAUUGCUUUGGAAACUGUACGGCUGGAGUGCUGGAGAGGUAAGCGGAAUUCCUAGUGUAGCGGUGAAAUGCGUAGAUAUUAGGAGGAACACCAGUGGCGAAGGCGGCUUACUGGACAGUAACUGACGUUGAGGCUCGAAAGCGUGGGGGGCAAACAGGAUUAGAUACCCGAGUACA